CUGUUUUGAAAAAGUAGUCAAAAACUACUGGCUACUUGAAAAUUGUAGUUCGCUACAGUAGCGAACUACAACUACUUCGCUACUACCCACCCUUGGAUUUUUCUGGUUAUGUUUUUCCUUUCACACGGCAAAUUUCAGUGGAUUUUUGGUCAAAAAUGUUAUCCAGCUGAAAAUCUGCUGAAGUAUUUGACGCCGAGUGGAAGUACCAUGCUUUGGACUAAUCACGUGCUUGCGCGUUUGGUAUAGUAAUUUGAUACUAUUUACACUCAGACGCUGUAGCUUUUUUCAAAAGUGGGAAGAUUAUUAUUCAAAUUUUCUUGUAUAUUAACUCAACAAGACUAAACAAUUGUACUUGGACUUUGCUUCGAAGGUAUGUUUGUUGUGUAUUUACUAUUCAGCAAUUAAUAUCUAUUAUCUAUACGAAUACUUGCUCGACAUGCUGUUCUGUGUCUGUGAAGGUUUGAUCUGAGUUAUUUAAAUCUAAAUCUUGAAUUCAUUUUUGCAGUAGAUACUGAGCGAAUAGUUUGUGAGUUGUUCGCGACCAACACAUUUAAUAAAAUGCGAAAGUAGCAAGUUUUAUAUUUGUUAAUAGGCAAAUGAUGGACACCAAGACGAGCAUCGAUCUUCAAUAUGACAAUUUGUAUUAAUUUUAAUAAUUUAGAAUUCGAUAGUUGUAUGCAUCUGGGACGAUUUUAAGAGAAACAUACUUCUACUCAUUUUAGCCAGGUAGUGAUCCAAGACUACCUCUCUUACUGAUUACUAUUUCUUAGGUUAAGAGUUCAGGAUUCCUAUGAGGGGAGAGUUGAUGAGGGUGAAGCCACUCAAGCCAGUAGGUAAACAAUUAGAAUACAGCACUUGCAUUAGAACUGGACUACAUUUCUACUAAUUACUAUUUGAAAUUUCACAGUGUAUAUGUGUAUAAUUUUCAGUCACCAUAUGGGCAAUGUUAUUUUUGUGUGAUAAUGACCAAUCACAAAUCGGCAAACUUGAAUUUGUUCCAGAACCAAUGAAGUUUGAAUUAUAAACUACAGUACAUCAUGCUAAAAAAGAUAUGAAACAUUUUACUUUGUCCGUUGUUCAAGAAAAGCUGAUAAAUGUCCGACUAUAUUUUAUCUUGGCUGGACAUUUGUCCUUCCAAGCAAAAUAAUUAUUUGCAGGUCUGGUUAACUAGACACAUGGGCAGAUAGGCCAGUUAACCCAUUAACCAGCGCUCUCCACUUGAUGAGUAAAAUUGUUAGGGGUGCACCGGAACUCGGUUCCGGCCGGUUAGUUCCGGCCGGAACCCCGAUUUUUUAGAGUUCCGGUUCCGGCCGGAACUAGUAAAAAAAGCAUGGCCGGAACCGGAACUCUGUCGUUUUCAGGGAGAUAGAAUAUCAAACGUUUUUGUGUCUAACAAAAGUCACAGUAGGAAGAAAGUUGGACUACGCAAGGGAAAUGUACACUAUUAACACUUCAUUAUGACGUUUAACGUUUGUCAGUCUUUUUAUUCUGACAUUUGCGAACUCUCUACUUGAUGAUUUGAAGUGUCUGCUUGUCUGGCAGCGGACAAAGUAACAUAUGACUAUAUAUGGCUUAAUAAAUUAGUUCCGGUUCCGGCCGGAACUUUUUUCCAGUUCUGGUCGGAUCCGGUUCCGGCCGGAACUUAAAAAACCGGUUCCGGUGCAUCCCUAAAAAUUGUUUGGCGUUAGACAGAGUAAAAUAAUUUGGCAAGCGUUAGACAGUAAAAUAAUAAAGUAGGCUGCAUCAGGGUGCAAUGCAACUUAAUGGGUUAAAGUGUGUAAUGAUGAUUAUGUCAGAUUAUUGAAUAUCAGAUGUAUAUCUGGGUAGUAAAAAUUACUAUGUGGUGCACCAUUUUUGUCCAAACAAUGUAACAGAAUACCAGAAUUGAUUAGUUCAUGUGUACUGAUUCGACCACAUGCUCACUUCGUAUAUAGUAUCAGGCCUAAAAAAUACCUGUGGUUCCGGUUCAUGACCAACGCUAUUUUUUUCUGCCGACCCUAUUAUUUUUUCAACGCGAUUGACUGUGCGACCCUAUUUUCUCUGGGUGGUUGCGGGCUGCUCAUACAGUGUGCCAAAAUGGCAUUUUACUUUUCACACUAAUUAUUGAACCAAAUUGCCUAAAUUUGUCCAUAGGAAAUACACAUCUCUAGUUAAUAUUGAUGUCGGAACUCACUGCAAAUCGCCCAGCAAAAACCCACCAAACCCAUGAAAAUUGUGUUUCCGACCUACCGACCCUAAUUUUUUUACGAUAUGAAACUGGAACCACAGGUAUUUUUUUAAGCCUUACUAGCAAUUACUUUCUGGAUAAUCAAUAAUUUUCUGCUGCUGUAAUAUCAACCUUAUAUUUUUUAUUAGGGGUUGUUUUCAUGAAUUCAUGUUCCCACCACCACUAAAAUCACCACCUCACAGAAUGGCAAUAUAAUCACGAUAGACCAGUAAAUCUACUUCAUCGCCUAUAUGGGGAACAUUAUUUUCUGGCGAGAACAUGGCCGUUGAAUACCAAAGUAAGGAAGGAAAAGAGUUACAGAGUUGUGGUAUGCAACUUGAAUGUUUAGUACUAAAGUUGACAUUUAUGACAUUAUGUGAUUUAUGUAUCAGACAAAUGUCUUGUCAAGUCAAAUAUUUAUUUGCAGCCCCGCUGUAUAUAUGUGAGUAAAUAGGUUGGCUGGGGUGCCUUGGUGUUGGUAACAGACAAACAGUGAGGGAGUCUACCCCUUUUCAUCUUCCCAGACCUGAGAGAUAGAUUGUUGAAGAGGAUGCCAUUCCUACCUAGAACAUACCACACCGAAGUACUACUCAUACACAGACAGGACAGUUGCUGUGUUGGUGUCACCCAGGAUUCGAAACUGCAACCUUGUGUUUACAAGCCCAACGCUCCACAACUGAGCUAACUGGGUGAAUCAGACACAAGGCAGCAGGUUUGAUGUAUUUAUAUACUGUACUAUAUGCAGUUAUAUAUUAUAUUUAUAAUCAUUCUCAAUAGAACAGAAUGUAAAAGGGUUUUUGUAGAUGGUAAUUUUGAACAAAAACUGUUUACUUACAUAAUAUACUAUAGUUACACCGAGCUGGGAGUAAUUGCAAAAAAUGUAACUCCGGUAGGAAUCAAACUUGCAAAUCUGCUGCAGUGCUUGGACCAAUGAGCAACAUAAUACAGUUGCCAACAACUACAGUGCCGGUACAUGAAACUUCAUGUAUAUGCUAAGCCGCUAAGGUGGUGUCAGUAUAUUAUGGUAUAUGUCUGAGUACAGUAAAUAUCUUUACUCUGUGUUUGGCUUCUGCUGGCAGCACCCUAAUAUUUAAUAUACAUAAACUUAAUUGUGGUAAAAUGUGUAAACUAUAUCGUUUUCAUUCAAAAUUUCCAUCCACAAGAACUAUUUAAUAAUAAUAAUAGCAUACUUAUGUUAGUACUAAGGCAGUAACGGUAUUAUAUUAAAGUUUUUUGCGAGGUAAAAUUAAAAUUCGAGUUAAUAAAAUAGGUACAGAACGACUCUUUUUGCGGUAAAUUUUACUCCUGAAUAAUGUUAAAAAAACAAAUAUAAUUUACUUCAAAAAAGGGACUCCAGUUUUUUGUUUUACUUCGCUAAACAAAACACAAAAUAACUCCUUUAAAUUAACAGUAUAAGAUUCUUACCUCAAUUCAUGUUUACUCCAAAGAACAAACAAACAAACAAACACAAGAAAUCUUCUCAUAAAAAAAGAAGGAAGUCAAAGACAAAAUACUAAAAACUUGCAUAAAAAAGCAUGUAUAAUGAUGUAUUUUCGUUGACUCGCCCCAUUCUUUCGCUCGGAAACUACAUUGCUUUACUGUAAAUAGGGUGUGGCAUAAAUGCCAUCAAAUGCUACAGUUCAAAAAGCUGGAAAAAAAUCCCCUAAUCUCGUACAUUUGUAACACUGAAUUUCCAGCUAUUAUUAUUGAAUUUCCAACUGUUAUUAUUCAAUAUUAUUAUCAUGUACCUAACUAGAAAAACAUCAAAAACUCGUACAAAUCGAAUGUCGUUUAUUGUGUCAAAACGAGGAGUCUUUAGGUCCAUUGUUCCCUUGUAUUCUUUACGUGACAUUAGUUCUUCAAUUAAUCUUCUAAAAAAAUCCUUAUGAACUUUUAAUUCAGGAGAAAUGAAUAUUUUUCAUGUUACAAAAAGGACAAUUUAUGUUACAAAAAGGAGUUUUUCCUUUUUGUAACAUCCGAUUUUACAUCAAAACCGCAAAUUUCUGAAAAAGUAUUUCAUCUAAAAUUCUCAACUUCUCUGUCGCUAAAUGCAACUCCUAUGCGCAGCCUGUUGCCAAGUAUGAAAGAAGUUGACGGAAAACUCGCAAUUUUAGAAAAGUUUUACCAACAUUUUUUUCAUCAGUGCGUUUUGCCCAUCGUUCUAGAGUAGCAAGGCUGGUAAAGGUACAACAGAAAAACUUCGACAUGUUGCACAGGCAAUUGCUACGAAAUGAAUCACGACGGAUACUCAAGGGUAUGUUAGAAUAAACGAGGGUGGUUACAACUUCAUACCCUUGCUUUGUCCGGUGAAAAAAGACAAAAAAAUGAGCUUUUCUCAGACAAAAUUCCCUUUUGUAACAAUAGACGCUACUUUUCAUAAAAAUAUCGCGACAUAUUUGUCUCAAUCUUUUGCCGCUGAAAUGUGUUAAUAUAUAACCCAUUUGCUGCAAUAUAUUGCCUUACUGGAAAGACUUGUUAUAUUCCGAAUCGAAAGGGUGCAAUUGAAAAAAUGUUACCAAAAGUCAAGGAGAUUCAUCUAAGAAUGAAUGAAUGAAUGAAUGAAUGAACGAACGAAU
This is a non-coding RNA of Paramuricea clavata, 4782 nucleotides long. Lineage: Eukaryota; Metazoa; Cnidaria; Anthozoa; Malacalcyonacea; Plexauridae. The record is from the annotation of a GenBank genome assembly.